CCUACGGGAGGCAGCAGUGGGGAAUAUUUGGCAAUGGGCGCAAGCCUGACGCAGCAACGCCGCGUGAAGGAAGAAGGCUUUCGGGUUGUAAACUGCUUUUAUCAGGGACGAAGAAAGUGACGGUACCUGAGGAAUAAGCCACGGCUAACUAGGUGCCAGCAGCCGCGGUAAGACGUAGGUGGCAAGCGUUAGGCGGAUUUACGGGGUGUAAAGGGCGUGUAGGCGGGACUUCAAGUCAGAUGUGAAAAUCACGGGCUAAACCUGCGGCCUGCAUUUGAAACUGUAGUUCUUGAGUACUGGAGAGGCAGACGGAAUUCCUAGUGUAGCGGUGAAAUGCGUAGAUAUUAGGAGGAACACCAGUGGCGAAGGCGGUCUGCUGGACAGCAACUGACGCUGAGGCGCGAAAGCGUGGGGAGCAAACAGGAUUAGAUACCCGGGUAGUC
RNAcentral lists this ribosomal RNA (443 nucleotides) under uncultured bacterium. Its description in RNAcentral is "partial 16S ribosomal RNA". It matches the Rfam family "Bacterial small subunit ribosomal RNA", at positions 338 to 795 of the family's 1533-position model. The record is from RNAcentral.